RNAcentral lists this transfer RNA (77 nucleotides) under Alphaproteobacteria bacterium. Its description in RNAcentral is "tRNA-Pro". It matches the Rfam family "tRNA". Rfam says of the family: Transfer RNA (tRNA) molecules are approximately 80 nucleotides in length. Their secondary structure includes four short double-helical elements and three loops (D, anti-codon, and T loops). Further hydrogen bonds mediate the characteristic L-shaped molecular structure. tRNAs have two regions of fundamental functional importance: the anti-codon, which is responsible for specific mRNA codon recognition, and the 3' end, to which the tRNAs corresponding amino acid is attached (by aminoacyl-tRNA synthetases). tRNAs cope with the degeneracy of the genetic code in two manners: having more than one tRNA (with a specific anti-codon) for a particular amino acid; and 'wobble' base-pairing, i.e. permitting non-standard base-pairing at the 3rd anti-codon position. The record is from RNAcentral. Lineage: Bacteria; Pseudomonadati; Pseudomonadota; Alphaproteobacteria.
CGGGAAGUAGCGCAGCUUGGUAGCGCAUUUGCUUCGGGAGCAAGGGGUCGGCGGUUCGAAUCCGCUCUUCCCGACCA